Nematostella vectensis (starlet sea anemone) is the source of this 792-nucleotide long non-coding RNA. RefSeq lists it as uncharacterized. The record is from RefSeq and is a predicted model, not a curated record. The transcript has 2 exons. Lineage: Eukaryota; Metazoa; Cnidaria; Anthozoa; Actiniaria; Edwardsiidae.
CACUUUUUAGAUCUGUACGGAUCUUCUGGACAAGGUUUUUGAGCGAUUGACUGCUGGUUGAACUCCCUGUGGGCUCGUAUGGUCUGCAUGUGGUUUGGAAAACAAACAGGACCAUGAAAAUAAAAGACGCCUGAAAGAGGUCUAUUUUAGCCUUCCUGAUACUCGCUGCUCUAAUACCUCCCACGGUUUGCCGCCCUCCUAACGUCAUCUCAAGGCCUGCGGUACGAGGCAGCGGAUAUAUACCCGAAUGCCAGGCGCAGGCGCAGACCAAUGAGAUCGAUUGGUUGGCAAACCCUUGCUAUAAGAGCGGUUCCCUGACAGUCGACCCUCAGACGGGGUACUACUCGGUGGAAUGCAUGAUGACUACCAUAUAUGGAUGUUUUGCAUCCGUGGGUGUGACGACUGCCACCGCGAGAUGUCGGCCCCUUCACUGCCUCACUCCAAGUAGAGACGUUAUCGUGCAAGACUGCGCGUGCGCUUACUAGAUGACUGCUGACCCAGAAAGACAACGAAAUCAUACUACAAAAGGAUAUUAUUUAUUUAAUCAUGUAUCUUAAAGAUACGUAAGCUAUACAUGUCUUACAUGUUAUAUUAUGUAUAAGAUUGUCUAAGUUAAAAAACUGCAUGUUAAUAAACCUGUAUAGUUGUUAAUGCUGUCAGUGUAAAUCAAUAACGUUUAAUUGUACUUGGAUCGCUUAUGUACGGCAGGAUGGUUGAUAUAAAAACCCCGGAACAAAGUGUAAAAAAUUAAUAUUUUUGAAGAAAAAGAGCUGAGUAAAGUUUAAUCUGAAA